Molecule: microRNA precursor, 189 nt
Filed under: Oryza glumipatula
Lineage: Eukaryota; Viridiplantae; Streptophyta; Magnoliopsida; Poales; Poaceae
Description: MIR812 microRNA precursor family
Rfam family: MIR812 microRNA precursor family
Source: Rfam by way of RNAcentral
AAAAAAGCAAACCCUAGGUUUCUGUGUCCAAUUUUGAUUAUCCGUCUUAUAUGAAAUUUUUUAUAAUUCGUAUUUUUAUUGUUGUUAGAUGAUAAAACAUGAUUAAUAUUUUAUGCGUGACUUGUCUUUUCAAUUUUUUUCAUAAUUUUUUCAAAUAAGACGGACGGUUAAACGUUGGGCACGGAAACC